Molecule: RNA transcript, 1614 nt
Organism: Cuculus canorus (common cuckoo)
Lineage: Eukaryota; Metazoa; Chordata; Aves; Cuculiformes; Cuculidae
Gene: MED11
Gene name: mediator complex subunit 11
Exons: 9
Source: RefSeq, a predicted model, not a curated record
GCUCGCCUCGGCGCUUCCGGGUCACGUGAAGGCGGGCGGUGGCGGAGCGCGGCCGCCGCACCAUAGAGUUGUGCUCUAGAGCGGCAGGGCGUAGGAAAGGAAGAGGAGGAGGGGGAACCAUAGAGUCGUGCCUAGAGCGGGAGUCAUGGCGGGGUACGGCGUGGCGAACGAGCGGCUGCGGGUGUUGGAGGAGCUGGAGAGGGAGAUUGGGGCGUCCCUGCAGAGCGCGGGGACGGUGAUCCUGGAGCUGUCGAAGGAGAAGGCGGGUGAGCGGCUGCUGGAGCGCCAGGCCGCCCAGUUCGGCGCCGCCGUCCAGAAGGUGGAGGCAGAGCUGUCAGCGCAGAUCCGGUACCUGACACAGGUGGCCACGGGGCAACCGCACGAGGGCUCGAGCUACGCGGCCCGGAAGGCGACGGAGUUGGCGCUGAACCGCGUGGAGUACGCCCGGCGGCGGCUCGGGGAGCUCGCCAGCGCCUGCGAGGCGGCCACCGAGCCCUGACGGACAGACGGACACACGGACACACGGCCAGCGCCUGCGAGGCGGCCACCGAGCCCUGACGGACACACGGACACACGGACACACGGCCAGCGCCUGCGAGGCGGCCACCGAGCCCUGACGGACACACGGACACACGGCCAGCGCCUGCGAGGCGGCCACCGAGCCCUGACGGACAGACGGACACACGGCCAGCGCCUGCGAGGCGGCCACCGAGCCCUAACGGACAGACGGACGGACAGAUAUCAGCUCCAACAUGGAGAAAUGGACGCUGGGGCGGAGACACGGACGGGAUACGGACACACGGACACCAAGUACGGCACACGAAGGCGCGCGGUAUUGACGUCAUCGGGAGGCGACGGGGCAGCGCGAUGCUGGAGGCGCUGGUGGAGGGGGGCGUGGAGGGGCUGGUCCUGAUCCGGGAUAGCGCCGCCUGCGAGGGGCGCAGCCUCCUCAGGACCUUCGCCUGCGCCGCUGCACGAAGGGAGGAGCCGGUGCUGCUGCUGCUGUUGGAAGUGCCGCGAGCGCAGUUCGAGGCCGGGCUGAACCCCGACAUCACCCGCCGGUUCCAGGUGAUGGAAGCAUUCCAGGACCCCCUGGGUUGGGGGGGGGGGGCCCCCCCUGGAUAUUGGGGGGCUCUUGGGGGGGUCACCCCCUUUUCCUUCCACGCUGCUGCUCUUGGAUUCGCUGAGUUGGAUCCUGCUGCGUCUGCCCCCCCCCCGCGCCGGGGGGGUCCUGAGGGCGCUGCUGGGGGGGGGACACCCCCAAAAUGGGCGCCCCCCACCCCGUGUGGUGGCGCUGCUGCACGAGGACCUGCACCCCCCCCCCAUUCUGGGGGCGCUGGGGGGGGUCGCCACCACCCAGAUUCGAAUGGGGGGGCCCCCGAACCCCAAAUUUAUGGGGGGGGGUCCCUCCAACCCAGGAGCGCCCCCACAUGUCCUCAGCAUCCUCAGACCCCCCCGGAGGUGGGGGGGGCAGGAAAAGGUUGAAGCCUUCGCUCGGGGUCCCCCCUCGGAUUUUGGGGUCCCCCCCUCGCGCCCCCCCCUCACUUUCCGCCUGCAGCUCUCAGCGGCCGAAAGGGCAGCGAGGGGGGCAACGACCCCCCCGUACCAGCACAG